GGAGUUAGCCGGUGCUUCUUCUGUGAGUGAUGUCCUUCCUGCCGGCUAUUAACCCGCAGGCCUUCUUCCUCACUGAAAGUGCUUUACAACCCGAAGGCCUUCUUCACACACGCGGCAUGGCUGGAUCAGGGUUGCCCCCAUUGUCCAAUAUUCCCCACUGCUGCCUCCCGUAGGAGUCUGGGCCGUGUCUCAGUCCCAGUGUGGCUGAUCAUCCUCUCAGACCAGCUACGGAUCGUCGCCUUGGUGAGCCGUUACCUCACCAACCAGCUAAUCCGACAUAGGCUCAUCCGAUAGCGCGAGGCCCGAAGGUCCCCCGCUUUCCCCCGUAGGGCGUAUGCGGUAUUAGCCUGGGUUUCCCCAGGUUAUCCCCCACUACCGGGCAGAUUCCUAUGCAUUACUCACCCGUCCGCCGCUCGCCACCAGGGAGCAAGCUCCCCGUGCUGCCGCUCGACUUGCAUGUGUAGCUCGCCGCCACGCGUCAUCUGAGCAUAAUACAACUACUGA
RNAcentral lists this ribosomal RNA (504 nucleotides) under uncultured bacterium. RNAcentral describes it as "partial 16S ribosomal RNA". The record is from RNAcentral.